This is a long non-coding RNA of Equus asinus (donkey), 4003 nucleotides long. The record is from Ensembl. Lineage: Eukaryota; Metazoa; Chordata; Mammalia; Perissodactyla; Equidae.
GUAACUGAAGGGCCUUACGGGCGGACCGAGGGGCAUGGUCAGAGUGAGGGAGAUAGGAAGACGCACAGUGUUUGAGUAAACCUUCCAGAUUGAGUUUCAGUUUCCAGGGCUAAAUCAUAGGGAACAAAUGGUGGGGGAGGCAGGGCUUUGACUAGACAGAAGAAUGGGCAAGAAUGCUCUGGAAGUGGAGUGAGGAAUUAGGAGGUCAAAUUCUUGCUAACAUUACCUCUGGGACUUCUUCACAAGUUGAAUAAUAAUUCAUAGUUUUCUUGAGCCUCAUAUAUAGUGAAAUUUACUUGCACUUCUACCCAUAAUUGUUGAGUAGAAUGAUUAGAACAUUCGUCUCUGUUAAUUGACCAUUUACUAUAUAUUGUCUUAUUCUCAAUGUCCAAGUCUAAUAUCUCGUUAAAAACUUUUACCCACAUCUUCUUUUCCAAAAAUUUAUCUCAGUAUAACAUUUAUAGACCAAACAUUUUUUAAAAUGUGUUUUGUUUGGCUAUAGGACAAAGGAUUAGGUUUUUGACAAGGAAUCACAGAUAUGUUUUAAUGAUAGGCAGUGUAUUCUUCAUAUAUAGAAUAUCAUAUUUUACCUCAAAAUCCCAACUCAAACCAUUUUGGUCUAUUGAAAGGAUAAAAUGGGAUGAUGGUUUGGAAGCUGUUUUUUGUGAACUUUAAGGUGUAGAUUAUUGUAAAUAAUUAUAACUAUCGGAAAGAGUACACUAUUACAUUUUAUGUCUGAGUCUCAGCCUUCUCCCUCCACAGUUAUAGGGUAGGAACUGCAUGUCAACUUGGAAUCGGACUCUGUUUUGAGCCAUUUAAUUUAGACACUUAUUAUUUUAAUGUAAGCGCUUUUACUUUGGCAGUCGACAUGCAGUUCUAAUUAGCGCUUGGAACACAGCAGAGUAGGUUGAUGAGGUACAAGACAUGAAAAAAUACGUUCUUAAUGGCCUGCCCGAGGACUCUGGCAGCAUCCAGGAAAGACGCUUUCGGCACAGUGCUCGAUGCUUCUGAGAAAUCAUCUUCACUGGCACUUACACUCUUAUAAAUUUAAUCGCUUCGGUGUUUUGAAAAUGUCAAAAUAUUGGCAUUAGCAGCUUUGUCAUCUAUACCACAGAGAGAACAGUAAUUUCUUAAGCUCAUUCUGAUGUAGCAACUGAUGUUUAAGAAAACUAAACUUGUUUUCUCCAUCUGCCCAGGAUUCGCUUCCCAACUUUGCCAGUCAAGCUCUUACUCAUCCUUUAAACCCUAGUUAGAAUAUCUCCCCCCACAGUCGUCCCUCCCUUUCCCCCGUGGCCAUUCCCUUUUCUGUAUAUACGCAUUGUCUGAAUAUCUACAUCUACAUGACCACACUGAGUUGUAGUCACUUUUUAAUGCAUUAGUCUCCCCUGUUGACUCUCAAUGUCAUAUUUGUAGAACUGUGUCCCCACAUCUGAAUUUUGGUUGCAUCCAAUUAAAAUGCACUGCAUGGUGGAAUAAAAAGAACACUCACUUUAUAGUUAAACUCUUAUAGGUUAAAUCUUAACUGCUAUUUACUUGCUAUGGGAACUUGACCAAGUCACUUAACUUCUUUGAGCGUCUUCAAAUAAGAGUAGUAAAGCCUGCUCCGCAGGAUUGUUGAAGAUUACAUAAGAUCCAUCCAUCAGUUUACCAAAUAUGGAGAGAUCCUGUUACAUGUGAGCCACGUUACUUGGUACUAAGAAUAUAGUAGUCAAUAAGGCAUGAUCCUGCCCUGAGAACUUUAUAAUUUAGUGGGAAAGACAGACAAGAAAACAGCCCAUUGCAAUAUAAUUCUUUCUUUUUUUUCCGGAGGUACUGAGAUUGACAUCUCUUAUCAACAGGUACUCUUUGUUUUGGCAAGGAAGGAUUCACCCUGAGCUAACAUCUGUUGCCAAUCUUCCUCUUUUUUCUUCUCCCCAAAGCCCCAGUGCAUGGUUGUCUGUCCUAGCUGUAGGUCCUUCUAGUUCUUCUCUGCGAUCUGCUGCCACAGCGUGGCAACCAACAGGCGAGUGGUGUGGUUCCACGACCGGGAAACAAACCCGGGACACUGAAGCAGUGAGAGUGCUGGACUUGAACCACUAGGCCGUCAGGGCUGGCUCUGCAAUAUAACUCUUGAAGGAUGAAUAGGAAUUCUCUAGCACAAGGGUUCUAGGGGGCAGGGUGAAGGCAGCAGGGUUUAGGGUGAAAGGGGAAGCAUGUGUGCUGCCAGAGAAAGUUGACAAGUCAAGACAUGGAGAGAGGCAUAAUAUAGCAGUAGCUGUGGGGUUGAGGCUAGAGAUGUAAAUACCAUGCGGGACCUCACAAGCCAGGCUCAGGGCAGGGGGAACCUGUGAGGAGUAGAUGAUCAGGUUUGCCUUUCAGAAAGAUCUCCUUCCUUGGCAGGGUGUGGAGUGGUUUGAGAUAGUCAAGGGAAUCAGUACAACCAGUUCAGAGGCUGUUGCCUUGAAGAGGUGAUGGCCCCUAUAGCAGGAGUUGCGGUGGGAAUGAGGUAAUGAGAACGUAUUGAGAGAUUUAGGAGGAAGAUAAGGCAGGAUGUGAUCCAACGUGUUGGUGAAAAGGAGAUAAGGAAAGGAGAGGAGUCAGGGAGAAGAAACAAGAGAAGUGGUUUGGAGUGUAGUGGGGAAUAGAAAGUCCAGUUUGGAACCUGUGGGGUUUGAAGUACCCAUGGGAAGUGUGGGACAUCUCGAGUUCAUCAUCUUGAACUCAUGCAUAUUUUGACCCAGCUGGUUUUUUGUUUUUGAAUAUAAACAUUUCCCCUAGGAUGAUAUCAACACUGAUGAAUUUUGUGGCAAAGAUUUAUUCCAGGGUGAACUCCAUUAAGGCAAUUUAAUUCCUUGAUCCAUUUUCUAUAUUGCAUAUUUAAACUGUUUACAAUUGUUUCCACUUUCAUUUUUAUUUUACCAACAUUAUCUCCAUCAAGAUAAAAUCAUUCUCCUGUUCAUUUUAAAAGGAAGCUGGCUCUUUCAACUUUUUUUUCUUCAUCUUUGUCAAAUUUUUAGAGAUUAUAGCUUUCUCCAUGAAUCAAAAUGGCAUACUUCAGCCUAUGGAUGGCCAAGGGGAGAUGUCCGUGAAAGAGGGAGAGAGACUUGAGCAUGGUUAAGCACUGAUAAGUUGGAGAGAGAGUUGGAAUGGGAUUCCUGAAGAGUGCAUUAGGACCCCAGUCCUUUCCAGGAGCCGGGAGCUGACAUCAGUCUUGCUGCCUAAAGCUCCGUAUCCAGCACUUACUAGCACCAGGCACUGUAGCAAGCAAUGGAGGUUAAAACAUGAAGAGACACUGUCCCAGCCCUCUCGGAGCUCACGUUCCAGCAGGAGGAAGCUGCACAGAUGUUGAAACGACUACUACAGGAUGAGAUGUUAAACUGGAAAGAAAACUUACAGACCUACAGGAACACAAUGACAGUAACAUCUUUAUAUUCUCACAACCCAGAGAUAUAAAAUGUGUGUGUAAGAUGGAGAUACAGCUUCUGCAUUUUCAAAAUGCUCAGAUGCCUGCAUGUGAAAGGCAGAGAGGAGAACCAGGACUCUCAGAGGAGAUGAAUUUUGACUCCAGACUGACUGGAACCAUCAGGAACUGGUGACUUGUGACCACAGCUUGUCCCGAGCGGACUCACUGCUGCCUCUGUGGUCUGCUGCUCCCAAUCCCUGGAAUCCAUCAAUUUGUUGUCUCUGAGCGUUAUGGACUGCGUGUUCACGUCGCCCCAAUUAAUACAUUGAAACCCUAACUCCCAACAGAGUGGUAUUAGGAGAUGGGGCUUUUGGGACAUAAUUAGGUCAUGAGGAUGGGGCCCCCAUGAUGGAGAUUAGUGCCCUUAUAAGAAGAGGAAGACAGCUAGCUCUCUGCUGUCUCUGCCAUGUGAGGAUACAGCAAGAUGUCCUCUGCCAGCCAGGAAGAGAGCCCUCAGCAGAUAUUAGAUCUGCCCGUGCCUUGAUCUUGGACUUUCUAGCCUCCAGAACUGUGAGAAACAAAUGUUUACUGAUUAAGCCACCCAGUCUAUGGUAUUUUUUU